UGCAAACUGCAAGAGGCAGAGAGAGGGGGAGCGCGGCGGGGCUGGUGUCCUGAGAGGGUCGGAGGAAGAAGAGCCCGGCUCAUGACACUGCUGUGGAGGACGGACGGGGAGGAGGCCGCUGCGACCGCAUGUACCGGAGAUGUGCCUGUGUUCAUCCGCGGCAUCCAGCCAUAUGACCGGAGCUGGCACCGGCUAGGGGCUUUCUGUUAUCUGCUAUACGUGCUCGCAUCGCCCUCGUUCUGACCGGCUUCUUACCUCUGACCUUGUAAAAUUUAGCUGAAGUCUUAUAGCUGCAUGCAAGCCUUAUUUUACCAAGCACAAUGCCAAGUGUCGGAUAGAGUGGGUGUAAAGCUCGGUGCCAGUGGACCCUGGAGCAGUGGAAACGUGUUGUGUGGAGUGAUGAAUCGCACUUCUCUAUCUGGCCUGGAGAACAUUACCUGCCUGACGCAUUGUGCCAACUGUAAAGUUUGGUGGAGAAGAGAUAAUGUUAUAAGGUUGUUUCAGGGGUUGGACUAGGCCCCUUAGUUCCUGCGAAGGGAAAUCUUAAUAUUUCUGCAUACCAAGACAUUUUGGACAUUUGUAUGUUUCCACCUUAGUGAGAACAAUUUAGGAAAGGCUCUUUUCUGUUCCAGCAUGACUCCGCGUAGUGCACAAAGCAAGGUGAGAUUGGGAAGAACUAGAAGAGAGAUUGCAAGCCAAGUCCUCUCAUCCAAUAUCAGAAUCUGGACUCAAAUGUUAUAGAUCAGGGCUGCUCAAUCUGUGGCCCUCCAGCUGUUGUAAAACUACAACUCCCACCAUGCCCUGCUGAUAGCUGUAGACUGUCUGGGAAUGCUGGGAGUUGUAGUUUUGCCGCAGGUUGAGCAUGCCUGUUCUAGACGAAGGGGCAGAAAUUCCCAUCCACACAGUAUCUUGUAGAAAGCUUUCCCAGAAGAGUGGAAGUUGUUGCUGCAAAGGGGGCAACUCCAUAUUAAUGCCUAUGGAUUUAGAAUGGGAUGUCAAAAGCUCCUGUAGGUGUCCCAAUACUAUAGUAUAUGUAGUAGCUAGAGAAGACUGUUGAAUUUUUCAUUAUGAGGAGAGACCAGAAGUAUACUGUACACUGUGUAUCUAUCUAAGUUAUAUAUUGUGAUACUGUAUACUGGGACUGCGCGGUGCCUUGCAGAGCACCUGCAUGAAAUUUGUAUGUUCUCCCUGUGUCUGCUUGGGUCCCACACUCCAAAGACAUUACUGAUAGAGACCUUAGAUUGUCAGCCCUAUUGGGGACAGUGUGAUGCCGAUGUCUGUAAAGUGCUGUGGAAUAUAUAAAAUAAAAAAUACUGUAUACUUA
This is a long non-coding RNA of Bufo gargarizans (Asiatic toad), 1324 nucleotides long. RefSeq lists it as uncharacterized. The transcript has 2 exons. NCBI's taxonomy places the organism in Eukaryota, Metazoa, Chordata, Amphibia, Anura, Bufonidae. The record is from RefSeq and is a predicted model, not a curated record.